GUCUCUCGGCGCAUCGUCUCCAGCAUCAUCUCCAGAUCUGGUGGGGCUAGCAGCCCCCACCCUUCACCUCUUCCCCAACCAGGUUCUUAUAUACAGAGAUUGGACGUCUUCAGAACAUUCACAAUAGCCAUAGAUGCAGUGGAUACGAACAAUUGCAAGUCGAUGAUUCUACAAGCUUGUUUUUUCUCUCAGGGACAGAUUUUCCUGGCCAAGGAAAAUGCAAAAUGAGACCGAGCUGGAAAUUGCAUCUAUAUAUCACACAGAUGCCAUGUGAGGAUGCAUCAAUGACUUCACCAUUGUCAUCAUUGAGUGAUGAGCCCCAACCAAAAGAGAAUUUGCUGUCUAUACUCAAAGCCCCAGGUUCUACGGGUGAGUGUCCAGAAGUGUCCUUAAAGAAUGUAGGCAAUUGGAGUUAGUUUUUAUACUAUCAUAGUGAAUUUCAUUAGUUAUAGGAAGCUCUUUUUUUAAUGCCUCUGUUUUUCUCUUUCACAUCCUAAAAGAAUUACUUUCUUGCUUCCUAUUUCUUGGGUUAGAUUAGAGGACUACUGGAAAGCCAGUCUCCUUUGCCUUGGAAGUACCUACUUUCAUGCCUCCUAUUUCUUGCAUUUGUUGCACACAGUCACAUAAAUGCUACCACAAAUAUUUAAAAAUGUCUUG
This is a long non-coding RNA of Magnolia sinica, 657 nucleotides long. RefSeq lists it as uncharacterized. The transcript is spliced from 3 exons. The record is from RefSeq and is a predicted model, not a curated record. Lineage: Eukaryota; Viridiplantae; Streptophyta; Magnoliopsida; Magnoliales; Magnoliaceae.